UGGGGAAUUUUGGACAAUGGGGGCAACCCUGAUCCAGCAAUGCCGCGUGUGUGAAGAAGGCCUUCGGGUUGUAAAGCACUUUUGUCCGGAAAGAAAACGUCGUGGUUAAUACCCGUGGCGGCUGACGGUACCGGAAGAAUAAGCACCGGCUAACUACGUGCCAGCAGCCGCGGUAAUACGUAGGGUGCAAGCGUUAAUCGGAAUUACUGGGCGUAAAGCGUGCGCAGGCGGUCCGCUAAGACAGAUGUGAAAUCCCCGGGCUUAACCUGGGAACUGCAUUUGUGACUGGCGGGCUAGAGUAUGGCAGAGGGGGGUAGAAUUCCACGUGUAGCAGUGAAAUGCGUAGAGAUGUGGAGGAAUGCCGAUGGCGAAGGCAGCCCCUUGGGCCAAUACUGACGCUCAUGCACGAAAGCGUGGGGGAGCAAACAGGAUUAGAUACCCUGGUAGUCCACGCCCUAAACGAUGUCAACUAGUUGUCGGGUCUUCAUUGACUUGGUAACGUAGCUAACGCGUGAAGUUGACCGCCUGGGGAGUACGGUCGC
Molecule: ribosomal RNA, 542 nt
Filed under: uncultured bacterium
Lineage: Bacteria
Description: partial 16S ribosomal RNA
Rfam family: Bacterial small subunit ribosomal RNA
Source: RNAcentral